RNAcentral lists this ribosomal RNA (301 nucleotides) under uncultured bacterium. RNAcentral's name for it is "partial 16S ribosomal RNA". It matches the Rfam family "Bacterial small subunit ribosomal RNA", at positions 509 to 809 of the family's 1533-position model. The record is from RNAcentral.
CAGCAGCCGCGGGAAUACGUAGGUGGCAAGCGUUGUCCGGAAUUAUUGGGCGUAAAGGGCUCGCAGGCGGUCUCUUAAGUCUGAUGUGAAAGCCCCCGGCUCAACCGGGGAGGGUCAUUGGAAACUGGGAAACUUGAGUGCAGAAGAGGAGAGUGGAAUUCCACGUGUAGCGGUGAAAUGCGUAGAGAUGUGGAGGAACACCAGUGGCGAAGGCGACUCUCUGGUCUGUAACUGACGCUGAGGAGCGAAAGCGUGGGGAGCGAACAGGAUUAGAUACCCGUGUAGUCCCUGUCUCUUAUAA